Long non-coding RNA from Onychomys torridus (southern grasshopper mouse), 475 nucleotides. RefSeq lists it as uncharacterized. The transcript has 3 exons. The record is from RefSeq and is a predicted model, not a curated record. NCBI's taxonomy places the organism in Eukaryota, Metazoa, Chordata, Mammalia, Rodentia, Cricetidae.
GGAAUCAGUUGACACGGCUUCUGAGGACUCAGGUCAUCAGGUUUGCCUAUCAAGCCGUGUUAUUCACUGAGCCACCCGGCUGGCCCAAAGCCCUGACAGAAGCAGGGAGAGCUACUGAGAUGUUGAACCAGCUCACCUACCAGGUUUGACCAUUCUACCAUCACACCCUGUAUGUGCUGGAGUGAUGGAACACACUGAGAAAGAGCGUUCCGGUUCCUGGGGAUUCCAAGGGCUGUUUAGGCCUGGAGCAGCGAAGCUUCCAUUCGCAGGGAGGUUCUCCCCGCACCCGAGGUUCCUCAGGCCGAUGACAUCAUUCCGAUCCCAGGAGCGCUGCGAUUUUUUUCAAUUUGGAAUUCCGGCUCCUUCGAACUCUAGCUCCUUAAGGAGACCGCGAUAUCACGACGGGCCCACAGCGAGGGCUCUUCAGAAGACCCCAGCAAUCAGCAGGGCGCCCCGGAAAAGGCAAGGUGCUGGU